AUGCUCGCCUUGGCAGCAUAUAUACUAAAAUUGGAACAAUACAGAGAAGAUUAGCAUGACCCCUGCACAAGGAUGACACACAAAUUUGUGAACCAUUCUAUAUUUUA
Small nuclear RNA from Saimiri boliviensis boliviensis (Bolivian squirrel monkey), 107 nucleotides. The record is from Ensembl. Lineage: Eukaryota; Metazoa; Chordata; Mammalia; Primates; Cebidae.